RNAcentral lists this unclassified non-coding RNA (5455 nucleotides) under Acromyrmex echinatior (Panamanian leafcutter ant). Its description in RNAcentral is "cUGBP Elav-like family member 2, transcript variant X8". The record is from RNAcentral. Lineage: Eukaryota; Metazoa; Arthropoda; Insecta; Hymenoptera; Formicidae.
ACCUCAGUCGACGUCAAGCCGUCGCGACGACGCGUGCGUAUUCUGUUCUACUUCCGUAUCACGGGACUCGCGAAGAUUCGCGUGUUCCGCGCGCGACGUGACUUGUCGAGCGUGUGCCCACCUGUUCGCGUCGACGGACGUGAUCACGAAGGGCAGUCCCCGGUGCGUUUCACGACAAGUGUGUCCUCCCCUCUUCCGGUUGACCCCCUCCCCCCCUCACUCCAAACAAGUGCUCGCGAUUACUCCGAAAUCGUUCACGCGCGUAGCUGCGAGAAUUAUCCGAGGGUAUCGCGAAGAAUACUCAUUGACCUGCGUCGCGUUGAAGUCUUGAUGAAAAGCACAACUGUUCGAAUGUCUCGGUCGUUCCACGAUAAAUAGGAGAAUCGCCGAAGGGUACAUAAAGUCCUCUGUGCACAACUGACUUGUGUUAUUGUACCUUCGUUCUAUCAUCGUUCAACGAAGAACACGGCUCUGUUCUUCGGGUGAUCCAUUAGUCAAAUUUCUUUUGUGUUCGACUCGUUUUCGAUUCAACGAAGAGAUUAUUAUUCGAAGACGAACUGUAUCUAUAUUGGUUUGUCAUUGCGAUCGUUGUUCAUAUCGUUCUAUUUGCGCAGUCAUCCUCCCUGCGAAGGACACGACGGUGCUCCGAUAAUCCUGAUAGUAAUCGAGUAACGUAUCGAUUGAUCCGCAAGAUAAUCAUCGUGGAGGAUUAAGAGCUGGAAUUCCCAUCUAAACGUGAUCACAUGAUUUGUAACGUGCCAAUGUGCCGUUGAUACGUCGUCUAGUGAGAGCUGAAAGGAGAAAUUCAUCCUGAAAGGAGAAAUUCACGAAGGAGGCGACGGUACUCUGGGAAGGCUCGUUGAUUACCAGUGAAAAACAGCUUUGGAUUAUGACUAUUGGAUGACGAUUGACAUGGCGACGUCGUAAAAUCGACGCAACUCCAAAUUCUUCAUGGAUCAUAAGUGAUAUCGCGGAUGAGAAAUGAUUAUCAUUGUGGGACUCCGUGAGAAACGUGUUCCUAAACGCGAUCCAUCUAUCCAAAACAAACCAAGCGUCGUCAUGACGCGUUUGGAUCGCGCAUGAACGAUUACAUGCCAUUCCAAAAAUCAACACGUCGACAAUCCGAGAUAAGCUGGUAUUCGAACUACGUGUCCAACGUCUAAUAGUGUCUGACGUAGGUGGAGAGAUUCGGGUGUAUCUUAAUAAAAAAAAAAAAAAAAAAAAAAAAAACGCAACACACGACAACAACGCCAGCGAAAAGAUUGCAAAUGUGAGAUUCGUUAUCGAUGUGGCAGAAAAAUACACGAGUGCUGUAAAAAAGAGGCACGCGAGGGAUGCGUUUCACAGACAAAGGGUGGGGUCUUUGGUUACCGAUAAGGCUUAUCCGGAGAUACGAUGGUCGGCAACUGCGCUCGUCGACUCGUCAGUCAUAGUACUCAGGUGCCGUCGACGAGAUCGUCACGCCGCUCAGGUCGCAGUAAUUUCGUGAUUCGCGCAUCAUUCUGCAGCUCCAAGGAGGUAUCUUGAAAGUGUUGUUUCCGGUCCAGGUGUCCAGUGGUGUCACGUGAGUCCAAAAGGGUUUCGUAUUCGCACCCACAGCUGGAUCGUAUUGCAACGGAUCUCAAAAGACGCUCCAAUAUCCGUCUGGAUUCUAAAGUAUACGAAACGAAAGGUCGGAUAUCGAUCGCUAUCAGUCACCGCUGGAACGAAUUGAACAAGACUUCAACGGGACUAAUCUUUCCGCGUGCUUUCGUGUUGUUGGUGUGCUUAAUCCACGUGAUGAGUGUGUGCUCCUCGUGUUAAGAUUUCAAUUCGUUUCUGAGCGCGAACGUGAUUCGUGAAUCGAGAGUGUCCUGUGCUGUUCGUAGUUCGCCCGAAACCCUAGAAGUAGCUUGUUCGUGCACGUACUGUAGAGUUUGAGGGUUGACGCCUUCAAACCGCAAGCGUACAAUAAUCCUGUCUUCCUCAAGGAUAAACGAAACCGAGCGAAGGAGGCACCGACAUCCGGUUGCCAAACGGACUCCCAUGAAAAUGCUACAGUCGCUAAACGCUCUGGCGGGUAAAAUCUCGCCAGGCUCUCCUACCGAUAGCAACGCCAACAAGGUGCAUAUGCAUAAUAACAACAAUAAUAACAACAACGUGCAUCACCAUCCCUACUCCAAACAGCAGACCCAGCCGUCCCCGUCGCACUCUGCCAACGGCGACCAAAAGGAAAAUACCAUAAUGAACAACAACAGUGUAGAACAGCCGGAUCCAGACAACAUAAAGAUGUUUGUGGGGCAGGUUCCUCACGAUAUGGACGAGAAUGAUUUGAGGACGAUGUUUGAGGAAUAUGGUCGAGUGCAUCAGAUAAAUAUCCUGCGGGACAAGAUCACCGGUAGUCAUAGGGGAUGUUGCUUUGUAACCUUUUACACUAGAAAAGCGGCUUUGGCAGCACAGAACGCUCUUCAUAACGUCAAAACCUUCAGUGGGAUGCGCCAUCCGAUCCAAAUGAAGCCAGCCGACAGCGAGAAUCGGAAUGAGCGCAAACUGUUCGUUGGGAUGCUAUCGAAAAAAUUCACAGAAAACGAUGUUAGGAACAUGUUUAGCGCUUACGGAAUGAUCGAGGAAUGCUCGGUGCUGAGGGACAGCACCGGGAAAAGUAAAGCCUGUGCCUUCGUUACCUUCGCUAGUAAGCAGUACGCAAUCAAUGCCAUCAAAGCUCUGCAUCAUUCUCAGACAAUGGAGGGCUGUUCGUCGCCAUUAGUCGUAAAAUUCGCCGAUACGCAAAAGGAAAAGGACCAGAAGAGGAUGCAGCAACUUCAGUCGAAUCUCUGGAACAUCGCGGGAGUCAACAUCACACCGCAUUACCUAGCCAAUGAUGCGCACACUUUGGCGCCUGCAUCGUUGCAGCUUCUGCAACAGUUGCAGGCGACGACGAGUGCCGCGACUCCGGUCGCUGCGAACGCGGGAGCGGCUAAUGCACUGUCGAAUGUACAACAUCAGUUACUGUUACAACAACACCUUGGCCUUGGUGCGGCAACACCUGCACACGCAGCACCCCCCGCUGUACCUAGUCCAGCAGAAAUCAACCCUGCAAAUUUGCAAAGUUUAGCCACCCUCGCGUCUCUGAGCAACACUGCUGGUGAGUAUGCAAAUGCGGGUGUGUCGCCAAUGAGUAUGCAGAACCUUGUCACUCUGGCAGCUAUGACCGGCGGAAACGGCAAUCUCCAGGUGUCGCCAAACACAUUAAGCGGUCUGGCGAAUUCGACAGCAGGUAUGUCGCUAUCUGCUCUUCUGGGAAAAACAGGAAAUACAGGGUCUACCGGGGGCAGUCUUAGUCCUGUAACAUCUCUCACGCUCAAUUCCUUGACGGGAACCCCGUUAAACGGACUUCAGGAUUCGCUGAGCAACGCUUAUUCUAGCUUACAACAGUAUGCAGCUCUCAUUGGAAAGACGACGGUGACCGUGGAAAAGAAAGAGUUGCAUAGGUUCCCCGCGUUCACGGCGGCUGCAGCCGCUGCGGCGGCGGCAGCGCAGAAGACCAAGUUCACCAGCACGGACAAGCAAAUCGAGGGUCCCGAAGGUUGCAACCUUUUUAUAUAUCACCUACCGCAAGAAUUUAGCGAUACAGACCUCAUUUCUACCUUUUUGCCCUUCGGCAAUGUCAUAUCCGCCAAAGUUUUCAUAGAUAAGCACACGCACAUGAGUAAAUGCUUUGGUUUCGUAUCGUAUGACAAUGCGUCGAGCGCGCAAGCGGCGAUCCAAACGAUGCACGGUUUCCAGAUUGGCAUGAAGCGACUGAAGGUCCAGUUGAAACGGUCCAAGGAUGCCUGCAAGCCGUACUAGCUGACGUCACAGAACGUUCGUAGGUAGAUACCAAGGACUUCUCGGACACCUUGGCUCGACGACGUCCUUAGUCUGGACGACGCUCGUGCAUUUAAUUAACAACCGCGAUGGUUGAUUAUUCCGCAGCGGAAUCGCGUCUAGCGAUAGGUCUAGGUAGACAAGCGAAAGUAUUAGGUGGCCGUAUUCCACAAUACUCUCUAGUCAAGCAGUAUUUUCCACGAAGGUAGCGAGUUAACGGGCUACAAUCGAGCGUUCUCGGACGCCGAAGAGGAGACGUCGCUGCUCGACACCUUCGCCGUCCUAUCGAAACGAGGCUGUGAUAAUCCAGAAGACUCUCUUGUCUCCAUCGGACUGACUUUUCUUCCGAGCAGGUGGCCUGUGACGUUGUGACCGUGUACUCUCGAUCGGAGUCGCCGUGCCAUGUCAGUCUCAGUCAAAUCAGUAUCGGUCGUUCGCUCGACCGGUCGAUCGAUCAGUCACGAUUCCCCGGUCAGUCUCUCGAUCAGUCUAUCUGUGUCUGUCGAUGCCUGUACAAAGAACAACACCCGCCCACGCGCUCUCACUUCUGCCGUGAGAUCCUCCGCCUUGUUGACCUCUUCUCUAUCUCUUCAUCUUAUCUCCUCAACCUCUUUUGCGCCCAUACCGCCUAUCCACAAAGUCGCGACAUCGUUCAUACUUCACGAUCGCACCGAGCGAUUGCUUGCCUCCCGAUCGCAGCUGCGCAUGUAAAACAUUGGACGAAUCCUCGGACAUGCAGAAGAAUUCACGGUGCUGGGCAAAUGAAAGUUGUGGCCGAGAAAGUGCACAUGAAAUGUGGAGGAGCGCGAUGAAGAAGGCUGAGAAAGUGGAACAGAAAGGAGGACGCGAUGCACCGACGACCGACCAGGGUUCCUCGAACGAAGCUAACGCGCUAUGUUAACUGUCUGUCCAAUCUCCCCUCCCCUUUAUGUAUAUACAGAUAUAUAAAUAUAUCAUGCAUAUAUGUACAUACACAUAUAUGUGUACGUGUGUAUGAUAUGUGCGUAUGUUUGAGAGCGCAAUGAGGAUUCUUAUAGUUAAUUAACGGUAGGCGAUGCUCUACGUUUCACGGUGAAAGCGGACAAAAGGACAAGCGAGGAAUGUGUGGCGAAUCAGCUGUGCGAGAAAUUUUUCUUAUACAUAACUAUACAUAUACAUAGUUAUACAUACAUGUUCAUAAAUCGAAUUAUCGACUGAGAACUAUUUUUAUCGGCUCUACUAUCGGGAUCGCUGUCGCAGCGCCUGUUUAUACAUAAAUAUGCAUAUGCAUAUGUGCGUAUGUAUCGCGGCAAAUUGGGCGUGUAAACGAGAUAAUAUAUGUAUGAAGAAGCACGAGAGAUGGAGGCGGAAAGGGAAACGCGAAAGGACGAACAAUGAUCGUGCGGGACCGACGCGCGUGCGAUUUCUUAGGUUUAAAUCGUGCAAAUAUACCAAAAACGAAACGGAUACAAAGAAUUAAACAAAAAAAACCGAUAGAUAGCAAAGAAACGAAUAUAAGAGACAUUUUGUAGUAAUGACUUUGUGAUAAGAUUGUAUCGUAUAGGGGACCGUGGUCUCAAACUGAAACUGGGCCGGAUCGCUCAGGAAUAAACACAUCAGGCGUCACACA